UCUGUCUGUCUUUAUUUUACUCACCUUAAAAAUCAUCAAGGUGUAAAGAAGUUGGGUACCGCCGUGUGUGCUAGGGACGAUUGUUGAUUCUUCUAAAAAGAUGACUACUCCAGGACCAUCAUGUGUACAACAGUGAAAAUGACCCCAGCACAAGGUUUAACACAGAACAAGCAGCUAUGCUAAAUCAUACUAAAUAAUUCAAUACAGCACUUGGCGGAUGUUUGCGAGGUGUCUUCCCUCGUCCACAUUUCCCUGAAAACCGAAGGCACAGAAGCACUGGACGCAGCUGCUAGAGGAGGGAAAAAGAAUAUCUAGUACACAGUGACCAUAAGAAGAGAUCAUCACAACCCCCAACGUGGUGCAGACUGCAUCCUUAAAAAUUUAGUUCUACAAAUGUUGACCUAGCAAAAGUGGACUUUAUAGAAAUACACUGAAGUAACAUUUUCAAAAUUGUUUUUAAGUUCUAAAGUUGAAAGUCACGUGUAGUAAAAAUUACCCUGGAAAAUCCCUAAAUUUCCCAUAAAUAUAGAGUACAAGAUUCUUGGUAGACAGCCCUGUACACUAAUAGGUAUGUAGAACUGGAUAAUAUAUACAACAUGUAAUUCUACAGAAAGACCAUAAUCAGCUAGUAAAUAAUUUGAGGGGUUUUGCAACACUUCCACAGUUUUGUAGAAAGUC
Molecule: long non-coding RNA, 678 nt
Organism: Lemur catta (Ring-tailed lemur)
Lineage: Eukaryota; Metazoa; Chordata; Mammalia; Primates; Lemuridae
Exons: 3
Source: RefSeq, a predicted model, not a curated record